This 1798-nucleotide long non-coding RNA is filed under the name Androctonus crassicauda. Lineage: Eukaryota; Metazoa; Arthropoda; Arachnida; Scorpiones; Buthidae. The record is from RNAcentral.
UGGAAAAAAAUGAUGUGGAUGCUUUUUCAAAUAAUUAACUUAAAGAAUUUUAAAUAUUUUCUUAAAAAAUACAGCGUUUUUAUACAUAAAUGCCGCGCCUUUUGAAUAUUGUAUAUCAAUUUAACAAGGAUGAAUAGAGCUUUAGGGAAAGUAUCAUCGAUCCGGCUUUGGGACAACAAUAGAUAAUGGUAUCUCUCCCACCGGAUAUGAUGGGGAGUGGUCUUUACAGGCCACGUGACGAGAACGGAAAUCUCCCACCUGCCAGUGCAGCCAGCUGGAACCACAACACGAAUGGGUGUGCUAUCCACAACAUCGCAUUCGACUGCUGUCUGUAGUGUGUAGUGUAUAUAGCACUGUAUACCCCGCUUUAAUACGCGUCUACACUAUCGGACGUCAUCUCGUAUCUAGCGUACUGGAUAAGAAACCUGUUGACGCUGAAUUGUGAACAUAUCAAGAACUCGAGCAGGAUUUGGCACAGGUAAAACAAUUGUUUGAUUUAUUAGAAUGGGUACUUUUUUAUUGUUCCGAUUGCUUUCGAGUAAAUUUUAUUUGUUCUAUUUAUAUCGCGAAACAGGAAGGAAAUGUUUAAUUUUAAUAACUUUUCUUCUAUUUCAAGAGUCAGUAAAAUUAAUUACUUAGAUAUGUUCUAAAUUGCAAUAAUGCUUACGAAUAGAUAAGGAAAACAAUACUAUCAAUCCGUGCUGAACUAUGCUUCUGGGAAAUUUUAUCGCUUAAGUACUGUUAACGGCAGUAAUGUUUUCAAGUUUAAUUUUAAAAAUACGAAGGUAAAUCAAGUACAUGUUUUGUUCCUUUUUUUUAAAUUCUUUUCUCACGAUGCGAAACAAAUGGCAAUCACGUGAUAUCAACGCUUUACUCUUCUCGACAAGGGAAACGACCCCGAUUCAUCACAAAAAAACUAUUAAAAAUGGAGAGAAAUAAAACAUUGGAAAUUAAGCAUUCCGUGUGAUUUUAAUUAAAUUAGGUCAGGUGACAGUAAAAAUAAAAUUAGGUGAGAGAUUAGAAGAGGAAGUAUACUUUGAAAGAAGAGGACAUUACGUCACCGGAAUCGUUUGAAAUUUUAUAGUUUCCUCUCUCGAUUUUCGUCGCACGUCACUGAAUAAGAAUGAUAAUCACAGAUGAAUACUAAUUUUUUUUAUAAACAUAUCAUCCAAGCAUUGAAAUUAACCAAAGCAAAGAAUAAAAAUAUCGUCUUUAUUUCUAUCGGUGUAUGUUUUAUAACAGGAUUUCUUUGCGGAAAUCACCUUGAUUCUGCAUCGUCCUUGUGGAUAUUGAACGCUCAUUUAUGGAUAAGCACACCUUUGUUAAAUUCUCUAAAACGGUUUCCGCACUUUUGUAAAAUCACACCGUACCUAUUUGUGCUUUUCUGGAUUACGAAACUUUUGCGAAAGUCUAUUACGUAGUCUACACCGUAGAUUUUUAAUAAAUGACCUAUUAUAAGUGUUGCCAUUUUCGUAACCAACCGUAGGUGAAUUUUACAUUACAUUAAGGUAAAUUUAAUAUCAAGGACACGGAAAAAAUAAAAACAGGCGUUUCAAAUCUGUAAACAACUAUCCUUCGCGUUAAACAAUAAUAAAACUGAAAGAUUAAUUUUCUGCAUCGAUAAAAUAAAGUCUAAAAUCGCCGUUUAAACGGGUAACACCUGUUGGAUAAAUGCUGAACGUGUUUGUUUUUAACACAGGUGUGUGUGAAGAUGGAAAGUUUAAAAUUGGCAAAUGUUCCAAAAAAAAAAAAAAAAAAAAGAUGCAAUUGCACACCGUUUACACUUUUUUUACGUUAC